RNAcentral lists this ribosomal RNA (482 nucleotides) under uncultured bacterium. RNAcentral's name for it is "partial 16S ribosomal RNA". It matches the Rfam family "Bacterial small subunit ribosomal RNA", at positions 30 to 507 of the family's 1533-position model. The record is from RNAcentral.
AUUGAACGCUGGCGGCAUGAUUUACACAUGCAAGUCGAACGGUAACAGGCCGCAAGGUGCUGACGAGUGGCGAACGGGUGAGUAAUGCAUCGGAACGUGCCCAGUCGUGGGGGAUAACUACUCGAAAGAGUAGCUAAUACCGCAUACGAUCUAUGGAUGAAAGCGGGGGACCGUAAGGCCUCGCGCGAUUGGAGCGGCCGAUGUCAGAUUAGGUAGUUGGUGGGGUAAAGGCUCACCAAGCCAACGAUCUGUAGCUGGUCUGAGAGGGCGACCAGCCACACUGGGACUGAGACACGGCCCAGACUCCUACGGGAGGCAGCAGUGGGGAAUUUUGGACAAUGGGCGCAAGCCUGAUCCAGCAAUGCCGCGUGCAGGAAGAAGGCCUUCGGGUUGUAAACUGCUUUUGUACGGAACGAAACGGCUCUGGUUAAUACCCGGGGCUAAUGACGGUACCGUAAGAAUAAGCACCGGCUAACUACGUG